RNAcentral lists this ribosomal RNA (400 nucleotides) under uncultured bacterium. Its description in RNAcentral is "bacterial SSU rRNA". It matches the Rfam family "Bacterial small subunit ribosomal RNA", at positions 362 to 776 of the family's 1533-position model. The record is from RNAcentral.
UAUUGGGCAAUGGAGGAAAAUCUGACCCAGCAACGCCGCGUGAAUGAUGAAGGUCUUCGGAUUGUAAAGUUCUUUUCUAAGGGAAGAAGAAAGUGACGGUACAUGAGGAAUAAGCCACGGCUAACUACGUGCCAGCAGCCGCGGUAAUACGUAGGUGGCAAGCGUUAUCCGGAUUUACUGGGUGUGAAGGGCGUGUAUGCGGGAAAGCAAGUCAGAUGUGAAAACCACGGGCUCAACCUGUGGCCUGCAUUUGAAACUGUUUUUCUUGAGUACUGGAGAGGCAGACGGAAUUACUAGUGUAGCGGUGAAAUGCGUAGAUAUUAGGAGGAACACCAGUGGCGAAGGCGGUCUGCUGGACAGCAACUGACGCUGAGGCGCGAAAGCGUGGGGAGCAAACAGG